RNAcentral lists this transfer RNA (82 nucleotides) under Microcaldota archaeon. RNAcentral's name for it is "tRNA-Ser". It matches the Rfam family "tRNA". Rfam says of the family: Transfer RNA (tRNA) molecules are approximately 80 nucleotides in length. The record is from RNAcentral. Lineage: Archaea; Nanobdellati; Microcaldota.
GCUGAGAUCGCAUAAUCUGGUAGUGCGCCGGUCUUGAAAACCGGUCCCUCCGGGAUUGCAGGUUCAAAUCCUGCUCUCAGCG